This 30418-nucleotide long non-coding RNA is filed under the name Hordeum vulgare. RNAcentral describes it as "long non-coding RNA (HVUL_LNC006221)". The record is from RNAcentral. Lineage: Eukaryota; Viridiplantae; Streptophyta; Magnoliopsida; Poales; Poaceae.
UUUUUCACCUUGGGUCUUGCCCAUAGGAAAGAUACGUAGCUCGGUCAGGGCAUAUCCUAAAGCCAUUGCCUCCAGCCAGUAGUAGUGGUAGGUAAGCAUCUUAAGUUAGGGGUGAAAUUGCUUUUCUGACAAGGAAAGGGAUUGUAGGCAAGCCCGUAGAAUUUCCUCUUACCUCUUCUCUUCUUUUAUUACAGCAGUGGUAGUCUCAAUAGUUCCAUUUCCAGUGCUUUAUAAGCCCAUGCAGUUAUUAAAAGUGUUAAGUAUAGCAUCUUUCUUAGGAUGUACUUUUUGAUCUUCCCUUGCAGUCUAUGCUUAUUGGUUAGCUAGUGUCAUUGGCCUUCGGCUUCUUACCCUUCUGGUUAGGUUAAAAAACUAUAUGUCUUGUUUUUUCAAUUCUCCUGUAAAGUCAAUAAAGCGAGAAAGAAGAUCUCUCAAGGACUACGCAAGCUCGUCUAUAUUGCAUCAAGAGCUUCGACUUUGAUUGCAUUGCCAGCAGCGGAUGCUUUCACAGCAAAUGAAAUACCAAUUGCCGUUCUUUUAAGAAGUUCCUUGCCUUACUAAUGUAAUAGUUACAGAAAGCUCUUCCUUCCCCAUCCGCCCUUUUCGGUUUAAUUGAAUAAGACCGGCCCGAGCCAUACUUCUAAUUAUCGAGGAUACACAGAUGGCUGCUGCUUUUAUUUUCACCUGCGGUUCUUCUUCUUAUUUAAGGGAUCAAAAGUAUCUUCCUCAAAAAGGUCCUUAACCCCUUGACCUAGAAUAGAACCAAAUUUAGCUAUCACCUAUGAAUCCAUCUCAUAUAUUCCAUAUUAUGCCUUUCUCAAAGUAAAAAAGCAAAAGUUUCUAGCCUCCAUCAAGGGAAAACCUUUCAUAUCUGCGCACAAAAGGCUUCCGGUUGUUUGAUCAAGAGAGCAAUUCAAGCUGCCAAGUAACCAAUUCAUCCCCUUAUUCCCAAGUUCUUAUUAGAUUGUUUGCCAACUUCAAUUGAAGUCCAGGAAAAUUCCCUUAUCUAAGGGAUAGGUCUGUUUGUUUUAAUUAACGAAUCGAGCCCCUUGAGUCCCUAGCAGCCUUAAGCCCAUAAGCUACUUCCUUUAUUUUCUGAUUGGAAUUCAAGUUGGACUAGAUCGUUGUUAUUGUCCGCAAGGGAUGGGAAAUAGGACCUUUAAAUCAACAAUGCAAGUAAGGGCUGAUUAACCUACUUAGCUUUCCAAAAUCGUAAGGGUUGGGGAAACGAUUUCUUUCGGGAAGAUAGUUAUUGGAAUUAUGAUGAUAGGAAUUUCUUAGAUUCUUUUCUGAUAGAAAAAACACUUUCAUGAAGGAAGAUACCUAUAAAAGUGCUCAGUUCAAUCAGAAACCUAUUCUUCAACUACCGUGCUCUGUUCAGUUCAAGAUUUGUUUUCUCUCGGGUUCGGUUCAGUUCCUGACCCCUAUUGUUUGUUCAAUCACUCCAAUCAACCUUCCCUUUUUUGCUUCCGCUGAGGAGAAAUUGAGAAGAGAAGGGUUGUGGCAUUCUUCCCCUAAAAGGUGCACAUCCAUCGAUUCCCUCAUCUAGUGUAGUGCUCUGUUCAGAGACCAAGGAAGCUAUUAGUUUGAGUUCCUGAUUUCCCUGUUGCCGACUAGAUUGCUUACCGACUUUCAUGAUGGAAGAAGAUACCGACUUGAGGGAAGGCAGUACAGAGCAGCAGCCUAGGGAUAAGCAGGAAUUCAGGUUAGCUUUUCUGUUUUCCGAAUCUUACCCACCUGAGAGUCCAAGAAAGAAGGCAAAACAGCUAUAUAGAGCCCCUCCCUCGAGUCGAGCAAUGAACAAGUAAGUAGAGAAAAGGAAGAGGGGAAAUGCAGUAUCGUUAUGUUAUAGCAAGAUCAUCAGAUCAUGGGUGAAGCAAUCGAUCAUCAAAAAGUUCUUUAUCAGCCGGCGGAAAGCGUGGUAAUUCAUUCAUUUCAUCGGAAAAGGAUCGAACAGGAGUCAUCGCAUCGUUUCUAGAUCUUCGAUACCUCUAUAUUCUGAAGAAUAGGUCCUAAAAUGGUCAAUCGAUUGUUUUCUCAACGGGAAUCGAGGAAAUGGCAAGGGUUUGAGUAUAGCGAGCAGAGGAAUAGUUUCCUUUAUCAAAAGAAGCCUCUCGACUUGGAAACAGAAGAUGUUGUAACUUAACUGCACCCUUCCUCUUUCUACUGACCUCCUUGUCUGAUCCUGAAUUCCCUUUCAAACUACUUUCUUGCCUUCCUUGACCAAUGUUAUGGAUGGUGCACUGGUUGAGAAAAUAAUUGGCCCUUCCUUCUUAUAGCAACAAAAUCCAAUCUCCCCCUCAUACGAACCUACCUCCAUGACUUUCAUGUCAAACUGAAACUCCUUCCCUUGCAUUACCCAUAGCAUGCCAUCACAUUUGUGCUCACAAUACAUCUUAGCGCCAUUUGCUACUGUGAUUUCCAUAGGUUUAUACGGAGUUGAGUCGUAACCAGCCCGCUUCACAAUCUUUGGGGUCUACAAAACAGUGCGUGCUGCCACUAUCAACCAAGGCAAUCACUGGCACUCCGUUUACCUGGUAUCUCUGUCCAUAGUCGUCUCCUAUUUUGGAAGACUGAGACUUGCGACACAGCAGCAAUAUUAUUCAAAUAACAUGUCAUUCAAACGCAGCGCGCCUUGUUAAUUGCUCGUCAUGUAAGUGAAUUUACGAAUAGGGAGCCCAGGUGCCCAACAAGUGAACUAUUUCCUCCUCCAGGAUUGUUGCUUUCCUUCUAUAGCCUCACGUAUGAAAAACGUGUGCCUUAUAGAGGGCUAGGCCACAAAUACAUAGCAUAGAUAACAAGGGUUUCGCCAAAGUAGACGCUCAAGCGAAACAUUCCACUUAUCGAAGAAGGGAUGCAGGUAUUUCAAGUUCAAGAAGUAGGCAUUGAUCCCAAAGAAUGUAGUGAAAAUCUAGGCUAGGAGAAAUGCGUCAGAGCCGAGGUCAGGCAAAAGGUUGCUGGAUCUUUAUGUUGGCCGGAAGUUAUUUCUUUUCAAUGAGGUUCAAUGUUCUCUAGAUUGCUUAGAAGUAGCCUGCCUUACUCGAGCCAACUAGGAUCAGAAGGUGUUGAUAGGGCUAGACUUUCUCUCAUGGGCGUGACCAUAUUAAAUAAAGGGUCUUUUCAUCGCUUUGGCCUGGCACUCGAGUCAACAGUUAGAAAUAGUUCCUUCGACCCUGAAACCCGCGGAAGAAACCUUAGGUAAUGAUUGGCUUCUAACGAUGAAUAAAAUAGGUAUGUUUCUUAACACCGCGGUCUGACUUCCUAUGAGUCAAGGUACGUAAUUCCAGUUCGAGACUGUUAUUGAAGUCGUAAACAUCCGGAGGAAUAGAAUCUUCAAAUCAUUAGGGAAGGAAUGGAAUAUAGUGGUAGUCCCUUUGGCGCCAAGAAACAGAGGAAUAGGUUUCGUUGAGAUCUGCAUUCCUGAAUUGAGUAAAGUACGUGUAUGACCCAGAGAAGUGAAGGUGUUUGCCAGAUCAGAUUUGACUUGGUGCUGUCUCAUCCGAAAAGUAUGCUUGUUUCAAUCUAAUCUCAAAACACGAUUGUGUUGGUCUUCAGCUGCCAAUGAAUAUGGGUAUUCCUGGCUCAAGGAGCAGAAAGUCUCUAGUUUUCUCGCACGAGUAGAUCAUCUUGUUUCCCUAGCCAGGAAAGUCUGAUUCAACAGAAUAUCCAGGGCUAUGGUCUCUAAUGGAUGGUACCUCGCUCAAUUGAAGCUUAUGGGAAAGCAGGAGUCAUUGUCAUAUCAACAGUCAAACGCGAACCGCGCUUUAGUUGUCUACCUCUUUAGUUGCCUAACUCACUUAAGUAUGCCUACCUGAUCUCGGCUUCAUUAUCACAUAAAUGCCUGCUGAAACAAAGGAUUUUGGAGUGGCAGAGCUCAAGUAUCAUAUUAUCAUGGUGGUUACCAUUGCGCUAGAAAGCCAGAUGAGAAAGAGACACGAAGAGGUGGCAGGCGGAGGACGUUGAGAGCUAUCUUUUAGGAAUAGGAGGUCGCUUUGCGCUCUUGCUGCUUAUGCUAAUUUCAAAUUCCCAGAGACAGGGUUACUAUUUGAACCCACACGUAGAUCAGUUUAUGAUUCCAAUGUUCUAUCGACUGACUAAGUUGGUCCUUAAUUUCCAAUGAAGUUUUUAUUUUCUCGAGGGACGUAGCAAACUGUUUGGUUGGCUCCGAGCAUUAUAAAAAUAGAGUCCUGCCUGGACAAUGUUGAUAACGGGAAAUCUCUAACCUCCGUGGUGGGUGUGAAGAAGGGUACAGCUAGAAAGCGAGAGAAUAUCUUUAUGGAUAUGAGUCUGAGGCAGAAGUCUCUGAAUGCGGUCCUGACGAACCUUUUGUACCAGGAUCAUCACGAGACUCUGUUUCUGUGGUAGAUGACUCAAUAGGCAGGGCCUAGAACCUCUAAAGAGGGUGUGACCGAUCACCAGAUCACGAUCAAGAAGAGUCAAAGCUGUCUUACUAGCGCGAGCAAUCAUCCAACUAUGGUGGUUUCUCAACCGGUGGGUACAUUUCUGUUGCACAUUGUGAGUUCAUAUUUUCUUUUCUAAGAAACAAAAGUUCGAGCAGAUGCCGUUCUAGCAGGUACAAGAACUCCCGUUCGGUAGGCGUCUGCUUUAGCAAUGUCUUUGAUUUCCAAUCCUCGAUCAACAAUUUGAGGAAGACGAGACAGAAGCCUUUGGAUGAAACCAAUGAAUCUUCCGAUCCGAAAGACUAAGGGGCUAGGCGCUCACCUACUAUCUACACAUUUCCUCUUUGGCGUUGGCUCCACCAGUUUUGACUGCGAGUCGCUUUAGUUAUCUCAAAUCUUUGGCAGGAAGGGGCCAAGCCAAAUAGUGCUCUUUAGAAGCGUAAUCCGUGCUUGAAACUCCUUCGCUAGGAUCCAAAAACCUAUGCUUCCGCUCUGCCUCACCAGGCAAUGCUUACUCUUCUCGAUCAAGAGGGCUCUUUUGGAGACUUUGAAGCUCAAGGACACGACAGUGCUUGAAACAAAUGCUUUGUUUUGGCACCUUCGUCUUCCUUUCUAACAUUAGUAAAUUCGAGCUAAUGGGACCAGUUUUGAAUUGCCUAGAGGGUGGAGAAGUCACAUCAUCUGAGGUUUGUUGUGGGUUCAAUUAUGACCCCGGUCUAGAAGACGGAGUGGUUGCACGUGUAAGUACAUCAUGUUACAUAUCUAUUUUAAGCUAAGCUAAAUGCCUAAACUAAACAAUUUUAUAUUAAGCGCGGCAUCCUCUCUUCGGGGUUUACGCGUCCUAGUCCGAACCAUUGGAUCGAUCAGAAGAAGAAAGGCAAAGGAAUUGAAAGGUAGAGUAAGAAGCAUCGCCCAGAUCAAUGGAAAAUGGAAGUUUCUAGAAUUGCUGCUCUGUUCUGUUCAAGAAGUCUUUCUCCAGGGUUCGGUUCAGAAGGCGGGAUGGAAGAGAGAGAAUGGGCUCAUCGUGCGACAAGGUCGAUCGAUCACUCAAACUGUUCGGUAUCUCUACAAUUGAGUGAGCUGUGUUGCGAAGGAAAAUGAUGAAAUUGCUUACUUUUCACAGGCGUGAAUUCUAUCUUCGAUUAGAUAGUUUCCAUGCUUUUGAUAAAAAGAUGGGUUGGUAGGCAGGAUGAGAAGUUCAGUUAAAGAUUUCUCUCUGCUCAGUGAAGGGAAUAGCUUCCUUUUUCUUGGACUUGGGGUCAAGUAGUGGGAAACUAGAAUCCUUCGAUUCCCUCGUGUAGUGUUCUGUUCCAUAUUUGUGUAUCCAGCUUAUCCCGGUAUCUGCUCUGCUCCGUGAAGGAAAGGAAAAAGCUUUCUAUCUGCUUUCUCUGUAUCCACCUUUACUCGGUAUUCUGUUCCUGAUUUGCAUUUCACCACCUUAUCUAUUUCCUCCAUACUAAAAGGUUGAAUGAGGGCCUCAGCUUCUUCAUUAGAUAAGCACCCAGUGAUAUCCCAGAUAUCAUGCCGUAAGUGAACAUUGCUNNNNNNNNNNAUCUCCUUUCUUUGUAUCCACCUUUACUCGGUAUUCUGUUCCUGAUUGUCGUUUCACCACCUUACCUAUUCCUCCAUACUAAAAGGUUGAAUGAGGGCCUCAGCUUCUUCAUUAGGUAAGCACCCAGUGAUAUCCCAGAUAUCAUGCCGUAAGUGAACAUUGCUUCACUCUACUCUCCCAAAUCCACUUUCUAGUAUGAAGUGAUAUGCUCUCUUAGCUCUUUUGGAGAAUGUAUAGAUUUCUCACCAUCUUCCUUGAUAGAAAUGCUAUUCUUUCUUUUCCUCCCAUUUGCUUUUUUAUGGAAAUAAGCAGUGUCCCUUUAGCAGCCACUCUACUGUUCACCUCCUCUUUUCUGCCAAUAUAACUCUUCCAUCUCACAAAUUUGGACCAAUUGAGCUUCCAAUUCAUAUCUUAGCCUCCAUUCAUUAGGAUUUAGCUGUGUAGUUUCGGCUUUAAUAUCAAUGACAGACAUAUAGCAGUAAUUAGAUUGGAUUUACUUCUUCUAUUGUCAGUAGCAUCAUUUGNNNNNNNNNNUUGUAGUUUCAGCUUUGCUAUCAAUGGCAGGCAUAUAACAGUAAUUAGAUUGGAUUUACUUCUUCUAUUGUCAGUAGCAUCAUUUGCCUUCCACCCUCUCAAGAACUUCCUGAAGCCCUGAGACACUUGUUGCCAAUAGUCUGGAAUGGAACAUUUGCAACAGUUCUUGUAGGCCAUUUCUGUAACAGCAUAUCUCUAAACCCUUCUUGCGGAUGGUUCAAAACGAAACUUAGUGGCAGCCCCUAUCUUCCCCAUUUUCUAGAAGUAAAGGACAAUGAUCUGACCCAGCUUGCAAGAGGGAUAGUAAAACUUAGGAAAUAAAUCCUCAUAAGUUGAAGAAACCAGAACUCUAUCCAAAACUUCUCUCACUGGCCUGUCUUGUUUGUUAGUCCAGGCCACCAACCCUUCUCAGUUCCUGUAGUUUAGUUUCAGAUAUGAAAGCAUUAAAAGCUUCCAUCCUAUUAAUAUGUAUUCUGCCAUUGUUUCAUGAGCAAAUCUNNNNNNNNNNGCCCUCUCAAGAACUUCCUGAAGCCGUGAGACACUUGUUGCCAAUAGUCUGGAAUGGAACAUUGGCAACAGUUCUUGUAGGCUGUUUCUGUAACAACAUAUCUCUAAACCCUUCUUGCGGAUGGUUCAAAACGAAACUUAGUGGAAGCCCCUAUCUUCCCCAUUUCCUAGAAGUAAAGGACAAUGAUCUGACCCAGCUUGCAAGAGGGAUAGUAAAACUUAGGAAAUAAAUCCUCAUAAGUUGAAGAAAUCAGAACUCUAUCCUAAACUUCUCUCACUAGCAUGUCUUGUUUGUUAGUCCAGGCCACCAACCCUUCUCAAUUCCAGUAGUUCAGUUUCAGAUAUGAAACCAUUAAAACCUUCCAUCCUAUUAAUAUGUAUUCUGCCAUUGUUUCAUGAGCAAAUCUGAUCAUGUCCCGCAAAGGUAGAUCAACACUCUGCACAAAGUUAGUGAGCUCUGACAAAAACAUAGCUCUUAAAGACUGUUUGGUUGGACCAUAAACAUCCACCCAAGCACAAUUAUCACAAAGCCUCUAUACUCAAACACCNNNNNNNNNNUGCAAAGUUAGUGAUCUCUGACAAAAACAUAGCUCUUAAAGACUGUUUGGUUGGACCAUGAACAUCCACCCAAGCACAAUUAUCACAAAGCCUCUAUACUCAAACACCAUGGAGAAAUUGACCCUCCCCAAUGAGGUCUGCAUCCAUGACAUCCAGAUUGACUCCAAUAAGCAUUCCACCUUUACUGCCACUGGCUGGCUUGCAAAACCACUUGAAAAGCUUUCUGCCACCAAUUGCCAUUAACUCUUUAUCUGAGAACUGUUCUCUCUUAGUUUCUUGCACACAAACUAUGUCCACCCACUCUAUCACUUCAGAAGGUUGCCCCCUUCUACCUGGCCAGGCCCCUCACAUUCAAGAUUAGUGUCUUCAUGGCGGUAUCUGUUUUUUGUUAUGCCUCCUCUUAGCUCUGCUCGUAGUGUUCUUGUCACCAACUGGUAUACAAGUACUGUGAUUAUCUAACUCUUCAACAAUCUGAGUAAUAUCCUCAUUCUCUGAAUCAGAGCUUAACUCGACACUGGAAGACUGNNNNNNNNNNAUCUGCUCGUAGUGUUCUUGUCACCAACUGGUAUACAAGUAUUGUGAUUAUCUAACUCUUCAACAAUCUAAGCAAUAUCCUCAUUCUCUGAAUCAGAGCUUAACUCGACACUGGAAGACUGCUCCUUCUCAUGAGCAGCUAACUUCUUUUUCUGAGCAGCUUCAUAAAGCAAUGCUUGAGCAAGUUCUCUUGCUUUAAUAGAAUUUAUAGACCUGUCAAUUUCCUCCUGUGUACUGCCCAACACUAGACCACUAUCUACAGCAGAUUUUACUAGACUAGCAGAAUCAAUGGAAUUGCAAAUAGCAUAUCUGUUAGUAGAAGACAUACCUGGUUCAUCAAGAUUCUUGCGUGAAGCCAUCCUUUCUGCACGUUGCUGAAUAGGCAUGCCAUCCUUCGGGAUCCUAUCCUAGCACUUGUCCUCGUUGCUUUAAUUCUUGCGUUUGCACCUCAUUGAACUUCUCUUGUUCUUUGGUCAUUCCAGAAAAAACCUCCAUACCUUAAUAAUAGGGGCUUGUGUAUAAAGGAAAGCAGCAAACCGGUCAAAGGCGAAGCUGUUCUAUCUCAACUCUCUGACUUGAAGGAAGAUGUGGCGGAUCUCAAGGCUGGCUCUAUUCCAAGUACAAGUUUCGAGGUGAAAUGUGUUGAUGUGGCCAAUCGAUAUACAGUAUAGUUGAAUGGUUCGACAAGUUCACAUGCCGGAGCUACCUGUUCUCCGCGAUUCAAGUUGGUUCUUCUGCCCCGCUCCACCAGAAUUGUGCAGACAUCGACACUAGCUUCUGACAAGUACCCUUUGAUAACUGAAAACAGCUCAUGCUGUAGGUUGGCAUCGCCUGAAUGACUGCCUUUAUUAGCGUUUCCUUUCCAUGCAUGCGUUCUUUCUCUCCUCCCCUCAGCCACACAUCUUUUUCGUUCGCUCCCCAUUUUAUUCUCUAAGGAACCCUCUCCUUAAUGAGCGUAGAUUGAUGGAGAUGGCUUUUGUACCGGUCAAUCUUUAUAUCCUUUCUGGCAUAGUUUUGUAAAAGAUCGGCAGAUGAUCCGUCCUUUCUCCUCUGCCGUGGUUCAUGCAUUCUUCCUUUUUGGAAAGCGGAUAGGGAUCGGGUGAAUUAGAGAAUAGACAGACGUCCGUUGGCAUUUCAGCCUUUCUUCUCCUUUCAGGGCCUAUCCGAAAGAGAAUCCAGUACCUCUUGGUCCUAAAUAUCAGAAUAGGACGCGCAACAACGGAACAACAAGAGCAAGACCGCUCCAAACUAAAUCACAGUAGAAGUUAUGGCCACUCAGGCUGGACCAAAACAGCAAGCGGAAGGUCUCCGAAAGUCCUACAUUAGCACCAAGCCAUCCCCCAAGGGAGGGUAUAACGGAGUGUGGUAAAAUCCAGUUGCUAACGCUCCCGGCUGUGGGUUCUUCACAAUUAGCAGGGCUUCUAUUCUAGUACAGAGAUCACCACUUGUUAUGCCAGGGUCUCCUUUUUCGAGUUGGUUACUGUCUUGUUGAGCAACGUUUUCCCGGCAAUCUCCGCUUAUUAGGGUGGCCUCUAACAGGUCGGGAGAGUACUAAAAAUCUGGCUCAUACGCCUCGCAAGAUUGAACAUCUGCGAAAGUCGUCUCGAAGCUCUGACUCUCGAGAGAAAGUAUUGCCUACCAGUGACUUAUUUUACUGAAUAAGAAUGCCUACUGUACUAGCUUCUUUCUUGACUCCAUUAACUCAGUUUACAGAAAGGAAUCCGUCCAGUCCAGUAAGAAGGAAUAGAGAAGAAGAAAGUCACUCAUCAACUCCUACUUUGGUUAUUGAGACUUGCCCGCGUAUCUGACCUAUGUGUACCUAUUCCCUAGCCUAAGUAGCUUACCCACUGUCCUAAUAACUGUCUGUCAAUCCGGCAGCUUGCCCUACUGCCUAUCGACGCUACUGUCCUAAGUCUCCUACUCAUAUACCCAAGGUCAAAGACUUUGCAGGGCAACAAACUGAUUUCGGAAUUGCUUAACUGCUGAGAGCUAAUAUCGGGGAGUAGUAAGCCAGCCCACCACAAGAUGAAUGAGUGCUCCUCUCCUAUGCCGACUUACUAGCCAGGUUGAGCCUUUGAGCCAUAAGAGGAGGGAGAAUCUUGUUGAUUUUCCAGGGAAUGAUUAUAUGGAUUUCAAGGAGGAUAUUGUUACCUUCAUCAGAUUGAUUGAUAACUGGUCGUCGAUUGACAACUACUGCUUUUUCCAGUGAGAAAGGAAGGAGGAAGGGGAUCUCAACAAGCCAUGGAUAUAUAGCCUACAGCCGAGUCCACAAAGAAGACGGUUUCAAAGCUUGAAGAGCAUAUUUGUGAGGCUGAUCCCUAAGUGCAGAGUUUCAUGUGACGAACAACGAAACUCCAUUUCUUCAAACACAACCCUGUGCCACCGACAAACGUUUGACUUUGACUGUGUUUUUUUUGGGCUAUGAAGAUUCUACUUAUACCCAAUGAUGGAACAUUUUGAAAAUAUGUUCAACGGGAUCUUAAGAAAGGCAAAUUUCAAGCCUAUAGUUUUUAAGAUCAUCUCGCUAAUCGAAAGAUGAAGGAUGAUGAACACUACAUGGCUAGUGGCCUUAUGCAAACAAAGAAGAGGGAUGCCUAACCAAUUGAUCCUAAAAUAUCUUAUUUGAGAUAGGUCAGAUUGGACUUAGUGGCCAACGUUAGGUAUGGUAGAGUCAAUAUGGGAUGUGGAAUUCCAGGAAACAUUCUUAUCCGCGCUCACUAACAAUGUGAAAUUGGUCCUUAGUUUCCUCCAACUGAUUNNNNNNNNNNGUCUUAAGAAAGGCAAAUUUCAGGCCUGUAGUUUUUAAGAUCAUCUCGCUAAUCGAAAGAUGAAGGAUAGCGAACACUAGAUGGCUAGUGGCCUUAUGCAAACAAAGAAGAGGGAUGCCUAACCAAUUGAUCCUAAAAGAUCUUAUUUGAGAUAGGUCAGAUUGGACUUAGUGGCCAACGUUAGGGAUGGUAGAGUCAAUAUGGGAUGUGGAAUUCCAGGAAACGUUCUUAUCCGCGCUCACUGAUAAUGUGAACCUGGUCCUUAGUUUCCUCCAACUGAUUCCUGUUUUUUUGAGCCUUUUUCAGUAAGUCCUUAAUAGCUAAAAAUGCUUUGACUCUAAGGGUUACCUUGGUACCUUUAUUCGGAUAUGCUUCUUUUCGGACAGGAGGGGCAGAUUGACAUUCAGGCAAUGGCACAUGGAUUCUAUUGAGAAGGGUUGGCUGCUCUCGACGACGGGGUGGGGGAAUGAGAUGCUGGGAGAUGGGAGUUAUUGGUGGAUUGAGAGGGGAGCAGAUGCAUGGGCUAGUUCAAUCUUUUUGCUCCUGCCUUCCUAGCCUUAUGGACAGGAGUCCUCUGGCCUAGUCCUGAAACUCUUCCCGCAGCCUUCCUUGCCCUUAUUGCCCGGCAUACCUCGGAAGGCAUACCCUGGAACCAAUUCAUUCAUCUGCCCUCUUCGCGAUAAAGCUUUGCCUUACUUUGCUUGCUGGCUCUAAGCCCACCUCCUUUACUACACUACACCCUCUCACCGCCCCUAUUCAGCCCGAAAGGCUUCUAACUUCCCCGAAACCUUACUUAUUCAGGGCAAGAUUCGGAACUUAGGGUCACUGCCUUUCAUCCGCCUUUCUCUCAUAUGCUUAGAACCUAUCCAUAGAAAUGGAAUUCAAAACUUCGGAAUAGUUUCGAGGAGAGCCGAGAGGACAUGUUCAAGGAGUAGUGUAAAGUAGCAGACAGAGGGGCGCUCCCGCUUAGGCAUUAGGCAUUAGGCACGAGAAAGGACAUCGUUCUCGGCCGUCCCUUCCUUCCCGGAAAAAGGCUCUCUUGCAUCUUUUGCUUCCCCACCCGGCCUCUAUUCUAGAUUCACCGUCUUCGGAUGCAUCAGUUUAUUAUGCUUAUGCCUAAUCUUAAUACUGGCUAGUUACUUCAAUUACCUUACCCCACCGCCCCUCCUUUUAAGGAGGUUUCAGAGCACCCAGUCACAGCUCGUCACAAGAAAGGAUUGAUGGUCGAGUCCCCGUGCAUGAAGUCAGUGGAUUCGAGUGAACUGACCGUACUACAAAUCGACAUACUUGAGGAAGCUUCUUACUAAACCAAAGAAAGGGCAACUCCAGUUGUGUUGUCGAUUCCCUUCUCCCGAGAGCUUUCACACUCUGGGAUGGGAGUCCCUUCAAAGACUUGACCAAAAGCUCCCCACAAUUUCUUAAUUUGAAGUAGUUUGGAGGCCUUCUUCUAGUUAUGAAUAGCCCUCGUCUGUCACUAUAGAUGUUCUAGCUUUAGUCUUCAGUGUCAUUUUUAGUUAUGCAUUUGGAAUGAUCCCUUUCCAAGCAAACUAAACUAACCUUGCUAAGUGNNNNNNNNNNNNNNNNNNNNNNNNNNNNNNNNNNNNNNNNNNNNNNNNNNNNNNNNNNNNNNNNNNNNNNNNNNNNNNNNNNNNNNNNNNNNNNNNNNNNAUAGGUGGAAAUGGGAAUGGGAUCGCCCGAGAAACCAUUGGAUCUAGGAAAUUGAUUCAUUGUUCUGCCUCUCCCACUGGUGGUGGGUGGCAACCAAAGGACUUGAAUCUAGCGUUUGUUCCGGUUGAGCUUUCAUUCCUUCGAAUAGACGGAUAGCUCUUGGAGGAAGGGAUGAGCUUUUAUCGGAAGGACCUGGCCGAUGCAAUUGAGAGACUGAGAGGAACUGGACUUGGCAGAGGAAUGCAUAGAAAUAUCUGCCUUUGCCAGGAGAAUCCAAACCUGCCUAAUAGCCUAUGAAUGUGGAAUCCCGUUCGUAUUCUUCCUCAAAGCCAUAUUUGCCUUUAUCUGAUUUCAACCUAUUGAUCUUUACUGUGCAUGGAUAUCUUGACUCAUGAUUCAACAGUUCACAUCCCCAGCGAACUCCCUCACACCAAUUGGCAUUAAAGAGGAGCUGUGCCAAAAAGUGCCAUAGCAUAUAUUAUUGCUUGCGCAAAGAUCGGAAUCAUACCUCUAGCAGGCAUUUUCUGUUACCUAAACAGCUGUCAUUUCUACUUUACUGAAAUAGAGACUUUCAUUGAUACUUGAACUAUUGACCUGGCUAGCGCUAACGCUUUGCAAGGUAAUUGGAGACUGGUCCGCUUGAAAUCGCUNNNNNNNNNNNNNNNNNNNNNNNNNNNNNNNNNNNNNNNNNNNNNNNNNNNNNNNNNNNNNNNNNNNNNNNNNNNNNNNNNNNNNNNNNNNNNNNNNNNNUGAUUUUAUUGGGACGCUAGUGAGUUAAUGAGCACUCUUUGCAUGGUUCCAUCAACCCUUUUCUUGCGUGUUCUGAAUCGACUUCUCAUCUAUAAAGAAGAGAUGCCCCGUAGAAGACUCCAGGCCACCGAAGCUAACAAAAGGCUAAGGACACCCAUUUAGUUCUUUGUUCUUAUGCCGACUAAAGCUAGCGGAGCCACAGCUUGAAUCUCCCUAGAAAUCCCCACUCGUAGCCCGACGGCUGGGUUUGUUAAGCAUAUUCGAUUGGAAGCUCUUCUUCACCGGGUUAAGCGAUGGUAGUUUUAGGCUUGGCUUAUCACCAUAUCCAACCCGAAUUCCGUAGUUCGAAAGGAGAAUUAGGCUACCUGAGAACAACUGAUUAUCCAAAACAUGAGACUGCUUUCUUAGCAAAGCUUUGCUUGGCUCAACUUAGUCUCUAUCUCUAAUGGCUAGACCAAGACCCCUGGUCGGAUACUUUUAUUGACCUCUUGCUGUUUGCAAAAAAGCUAUCCAGAUUUCAAUAAGUCUUGUCAUCCUUGCAUGUUUUUGACCUGGCAUGCUUCUUGCUUUCUUUUCGUAAGAACCGGCGUUGAAGAGGAGUGUGAUGCCAGGGGAAGUCGACUCGGUUACCGGGUCUGUCCUGUGAGGGAUCGUUAUAUAGUUUUCAUCUGGUAGGUCUUCUUACUUAUGAUGCCUGGAACUUUAACUAGAACUGGGCAUUCCUCAACCGAAACAAUUAGAGAACUAGUUAUUCCCGCGGGACACGAACUUACAUGAAACUAAACUUUAAAAACAAGUUUACUUUCGUUAGAAAAUAGAAAAACCAACGGAAAAGAAAGUCUCAUGUUGCUCCUCAGAAAACGCGUAGAAUAGUCUCAUUGGCCCUCGUCGAUGGGACAAUCCAGUGUAUGCGUUACAAGGCAACUAGCAUUUAGUUCGUGAAAGAAUGUUUCGUUGGAAAAACCAACGCCGACGUCAAGAUCAGUCUCCUUUCUCUUUUCGGGAGCAGAGCUGAAAAAGAUGGGAAAUUCCAAUGAUUCUUCGUUCAUUAGAAUGUCGAUUCCUCACAAUCGCUCUUUGUGAUGCUGCGGAACCAUGGCAAUUAGGAUCUCAAGACGCAGCAACACCUAUGAUGCAAGGAAUCAUUGACUUACAUCANNNNNNNNNNNNNNNNNNNNNNNNNNNNNNNNNNNNNNNNNNNNNNNNNNNNNNNNNNNNNNNNNNNNNNNNNNNNNNNNNNNNNNNNNNNNNNNNNNNNUCACUCUACUCUCCCAAAUCCACUUUCUAGUAUGAAGUGAUAUGCUCUCUUAGCUCUUUUGGAGAAUGUAUAGAUUUCUCACCAUCUUCCUUGAUAGAAAUGCUAUUCUUUCUUUUCCUCCCAUUUGCUUUUUUAUGGAAAUAAGCAGUGUCCCUUUAGCAGCCACUCUACUGUUCACCUCCUCUUUUCUGCCAAUAUAACUCUUCCAUCUCACAAAUUUGGACCAAUUGAGCUUCCAAUUCAUAUCUUAGCCUCCAUUCAUUAGGAUUUAGCUGUGUAGUUUCGGCUUUAAUAUCAAUGACAGACAUAUAGCAGUAAUUAGAUUGGAUUUACUUCUUCUAUUGUCAGUAGCAUCAUUUGCCUUCCACCCUCUCAAGAACUUCCUGAAGCCCUGAGACACUUGUUGCCAAUAGUCUGGAAUGGAACAUUUGCAACAGUUCUUGUAGGCCAUUUCUGUAACAGCAUAUCUCUAAACCCUUCUUGCGGAUGGUUCAAAACGAAACUUAGUGGCAGCCCCUAUCUUCCCCAUUUUCUAGAAGUAAAGGACAAUGAUCUGACCCAGCUUGCAAGAGGGAUAGUAAAACUUAGGAAAUAAAUCCUCAUAAGUUGAAGAAACCAGAACUCUAUCCAAAACUUCUCUCACUGGCCUGUCUUGUUUGUUAGUCCAGGCCACCAACCCUUCUCAGUUCCUGUAGUUUAGUUUCAGAUAUGAAAGCAUUAAAAGCUUCCAUCCUAUUAAUAUGUAUUCUGCCAUUGUUUCAUGAGCAAAUCUGAUCAUGUCCCGCAAAGGUAGAUCAACACUCUGCANNNNNNNNNNNNNNNNNNNNNNNNNNNNNNNNNNNNNNNNNNNNNNNNNNNNNNNNNNNNNNNNNNNNNNNNNNNNNNNNNNNNNNNNNNNNNNNNNNNNCUCCUUCUCAUGAGCAGCUAACUUCUUUUUCUGAGCAGCUUCAUAAAGCAAUGCUUGAGCAAGUUCUCUUGCUUUAAUAGAAUUUAUAGACCUGUCAAUUUCCUCCUGUGUACUGCCCAACACUAGACCACUAUCUACAGCAGAUUUUACUAGACUAGCAGAAUCAAUGGAAUUGCAAAUAGCAUAUCUGUUAGUAGAAGACAUACCUGGUUCAUCAAGAUUCUUGCGUGAAGCCAUCCUUUCUGCACGUUGCUGAAUAGGCAUGCCAUCCUUCGGGAUCCUAUCCUAGCACUUGUCCUCGUUGCUUUAAUUCUUGCGUUUGCACCUCAUUGAACUUCUCUUGUUCUUUGGUCAUUCCAGAAAAAACCUCCAUACCUUAAUAAUAGGGGCUUGUGUAUAAAGGAAAGCAGCAAACCGGUCAAAGGCGAAGCUGUUCUAUCUCAACUCUCUGACUUGAAGGAAGAUGUGGCGGAUCUCAAGGCUGGCUCUAUUCCAAGUACAAGUUUCGAGGUGAAAUGUGUUGAUGUGGCCAAUCGAUAUACAGUAUAGUUGAAUGGUUCGACAAGUUCACAUGCCGGAGCUACCUGUUCUCCGCGAUUCAAGUUGGUUCUUCUGCCCCGCUCCACCAGAAUUGUGCAGACAUCGACACUAGCUUCUGACAAGUACCCUUUGAUAACUGAAAACAGCUCAUGCUGUAGGUUGGCAUCGCCUGAAUGACUGCCUUUAUUAGCGUUUCCUUUCCAUGCAUGCGUUCUUUCUCUCCUCCCCUCAGCCACACAUCUUUUUCGUUCGCUCCCCAUUUUAUUCUCUAAGGAACCCUCUCCUUAAUGAGCGUAGAUUGAUGGAGAUGGCUUUUGUACCGGUCAAUCUUUAUAUCCUUUCUGGCAUAGUUUUGUAAAAGAUCGGCAGAUGAUCCGUCCUUUCUCCUCUGCCGUGGUUCAUGCAUUCUUCCUUUUUGGAAAGCGGAUAGGGAUCGGGUGAAUUAGAGAAUAGACAGACGUCCGUUGGCAUUUCAGCCUUUCUUCUCCUUUCAGGGCCUAUCCGAAAGAGAAUCCAGUACCUCUUGGUCCUAAAUAUCAGAAUAGGACGCGCAACAACGGAACAACAAGAGCAAGACCGCUCCAAACUAAAUCACAGUAGAAGUUAUGGCCACUCAGGCUGGACCAAAACAGCAAGCGGAAGGUCUCCGAAAGUCCUACAUUAGCACCAAGCCAUCCCCCAAGGGAGGGUAUAACGGAGUGUGGUAAAAUCCAGUUGCUAACGCUCCCGGCUGUGGGUUCUUCACAAUUAGCAGGGCUUCUAUUCUAGUACAGAGAUCACCACUUGUUAUGCCAGGGUCUCCUUUUUCGAGUUGGUUACUGUCUUGUUGAGCAACGUUUUCCCGGCAAUCUCCGCUUAUUAGGGUGGCCUCUAACAGGUCGGGAGAGUACUAAAAAUCUGGCUCAUACGCCUCGCAAGAUUGAACAUCUGCGAAAGUCGUCUCGAAGCUCUGACUCUCGAGAGAAAGUAUUGCCUACCAGUGACUUAUUUUACUGAAUAAGAAUGCCUACUGUACUAGCUUCUUUCUUGACUCCAUUAACUCAGUUUACAGAAAGGAAUCCGUCCAGUCCAGUAAGAAGGAAUAGAGAAGAAGAAAGUCACUCAUCAACUCCUACUUUGGUUAUUGAGACUUGCCCGCGUAUCUGACCUAUGUGUACCUAUUCCCUAGCCUAAGUAGCUUACCCACUGUCCUAAUAACUGUCUGUCAAUCCGGCAGCUUGCCCUACUGCCUAUCGACGCUACUGUCCUAAGUCUCCUACUCAUAUACCCAAGGUCAAAGACUUUGCAGGGCAACAAACUGAUUUCGGAAUUGCUUAACUGCUGAGAGCUAAUAUCGGGGAGUAGUAAGCCAGCCCACCACAAGAUGAAUGAGUGCUCCUCUCCUAUGCCGACUUACUAGCCAGGUUGAGCCUUUGAGCCAUAAGAGGAGGGAGAAUCUUGUUGAUUUUCCAGGGAAUGAUUAUAUGGAUUUCAAGGAGGAUAUUGUUACCUUCAUCAGAUUGAUUGAUAACUGGUCGUCGAUUGACAACUACUGCUUUUUCCAGUGAGAAAGGAAGGAGGAAGGGGAUCUCAACAAGCCAUGGAUAUAUAGCCUACAGCCGAGUCCACAAAGAAGACGGUUUCAAAGCUUGAAGAGCAUAUUUGUGAGGCUGAUCCCUAAGUGCAGAGUUUCAUGUGACGAACAACGAAACUCCAUUUCUUCAAACACAACCCUGUGCCACCGACAAACGUUUGACUUUGACUGUGUUUUUUUUGGGCUAUGAAGAUUCUACUUAUACCCAAUGAUGGAACAUUUUGAAAAUAUGUUCAACGGGGUCUUAAGAAAGGCAAAUUUCAGGCCUGUAGUUUUUAAGAUCAUCUCGCUAAUCGAAAGAUGAAGGAUAGCGAACACUAGAUGGCUAGUGGCCUUAUGCAAACAAAGAAGAGGGAUGCCUAACCAAUUGAUCCUAAAAGAUCUUAUUUGAGAUAGGUCAGAUUGGACUUAGUGGCCAACGUUAGGGAUGGUAGAGUCAAUAUGGGAUGUGGAAUUCCAGGAAACGUUCUUAUCCGCGCUCACUGAUAAUGUGAACCUGGUCCUUAGUUUCCUCCAACUGAUUCCUGUUUUUUUGAGCCUUUUUCAGUAAGUCCUUAAUAGCUAAAAAUGCUUUGACUCUAAGGGUUACCUUGGUACCUUUAUUCGGAUAUGCUUCUUUUCGGACAGGAGGGGCAGAUUGACAUUCAGGCAAUGGCACAUGGAUUCUAUUGAGAAGGGUUGGCUGCUCUCGACGACGGGGUGGGGGAAUGAGAUGCUGGGAGAUGGGAGUUAUUGGUGGAUUGAGAGGGGAGCAGAUGCAUGGGCUAGUUCAAUCUUUUUGCUCCUGCCUUCCUAGCCUUAUGGACAGGAGUCCUCUGGCCUAGUCCUGAAACUCUUCCCGCAGCCUUCCUUGCCCUUAUUGCCCGGCAUACCUCGGAAGGCAUACCCUGGAACCAAUUCAUUCAUCUGCCCUCUUCGCGAUAAAGCUUUGCCUUACUUUGCUUGCUGGCUCUAAGCCCACCUCCUUUACUACACUACACCCUCUCACCGCCCCUAUUCAGCCCGAAAGGCUUCUAACUUCCCCGAAACCUUACUUAUUCAGGGCAAGAUUCGGAACUUAGGGUCACUGCCUUUCAUCCGCCUUUCUCUCAUAUGCUUAGAACCUAUCCAUAGAAAUGGAAUUCAAAACUUCGGAAUAGUUUCGAGGAGAGCCGAGAGGACAUGUUCAAGGAGUAGUGUAAAGUAGCAGACAGAGGGGCGCUCCCGCUUAGGCAUUAGGCAUUAGGCACGAGAAAGGACAUCGUUCUCGGCCGUCCCUUCCUUCCCGGAAAAAGGCUCUCUUGCAUCUUUUGCUUCCCCACCCGGCCUCUAUUCUAGAUUCACCGUCUUCGGAUGCAUCAGUUUAUUAUGCUUAUGCCUAAUCUUAAUACUGGCUAGUUACUUCAAUUACCUUACCCCACCGCCCCUCCUUUUAAGGAGGUUUCAGAGCACCCAGUCACAGCUCGUCACAAGAAAGGAUUGAUGGUCGAGUCCCCGUGCAUGAAGUCAGUGGAUUCGAGUGAACUGACCGUACUACAAAUCGACAUACUUGAGGAAGCUUCUUACUAAACCAAAGAAAGGGCAACUCCAGUUGUGUUGUCGAUUCCCUUCUCCCGAGAGCUUUCACACUCUGGGAUGGGAGUCCCUUCNNNNNNNNNNNNNNNNNNNNNNNNNNNNNNNNNNNNNNNNNNNNNNNNNNNNNNNNNNNNNNNNNNNNNNNNNNNNNNNNNNNNNNNNNNNNNNNNNNNNUAUUUUAAUUUUGAAGGAGUUUCACAUAUUCUACGGUACUACAUACAUGCAUAUGAAUGUACAAUUUCAAACAAAUUUGAAAUUAGAACCAAAAAGAAUUCAAGAGGAAUAUACAAUAUAUAUUCAAUAUCAUCGGAUGACCAUAUACAAUUUUGAACAAGUUUCCAUACAUAAUUUAAUGCAUAUGAAGUUCUACGUCCUCGUAAUGGUGUUCUCCUUUACGAUGGAGGACUUCCCUCCUGAACCAUCCAGCUAGUUCCUCUUGAAGUGGUCGGAAGCGAGCUUCUGGACUAAGCAUCACCCGGAGGUUAUUCCGCUGAGCAUUGGUAUCACUCGGAACCCGCUCAGAGGUGUAUCUCCGGAUCAUCUCACAGACAUAGUAUCCACAUAGAUUGGUCCCCGCUGGCUGAAUAUCCCCACCAUUCUUAGCCUUUGACCUUUUGAAUUCUAGCUCUUUUUUGAAUUCACCGACCUUUGUAUCUACGAACCGUCUCCAAACCCUACGAGGCAAAGAAAAUUAAAUGAACAAGAGAGUUAUUAGUUACUUGAUAUUAGGAAAUGAACGAAAUAGGCCGAUCGAUAUAGAGCGCAAAUGAAUGAAAAUAAUUACUUCUGCAGCAUUCUUCUCAUGCCGCCCCAAAGCUUUGGAUCCAUAUUCAGAGAGUCGUGGACGAGACAUUCUGAGGUGUCAACUUUAAUUACUAGCAGAAUCCAGUGGAACCUGCGGACACGAUACAUGCACAGUACGUCAUGCAUAACUCAUCGAUUAGCCGGCCACAUAUCAUGCAUGGAGUAAACAAAAGAGAAUGUGCUCAAGACAGAAACACUCACCCAAAAUGGUAAGGAAAUAGAAUAUCACUUUUGAGUUCCUGCUUUGUAAGAAACUGCCACAGGUCUGCCUCCAUGUAGGCGGGGUGAUGCUCCAACACAUAUCCAUUAACGAUGUGUGGGUCAAUGAACCCAACAUCAUGGAUGUUCCUUACUCUGCAUUCCUUAAUCUUCAUUCUGCAUGUAUAAUAGCGGACACAACAAUAUAGUUACGACAUAUAUAUAGUGCAGGCAAUAUGAACGAGAUGGGGUAUAAAUAAAUCACUUACAGAACGUAGCAACUGAUGAUAGAUUUGUCGAGCUCGCGCAGAUUGAAAAGCUGGAACAAUUCACUCAGAUGAAUUUGUACAUAGUAAUGUUUGAAGUGAUGCUCAUAUCUAACUUCCGCAUAAAUAUAAUCUUUGGCGUUUUUAUUUUUUAUGUAACCCUUGUACCAUUUCAGCAGACCUUUCAUUUGUGGAGGUAGAUCCUCUUCCUGCGCAGGCUCGACGAGAGGCCCAUUCUUCACAUAUGUAAUUACUACCUCCUUCACUGGCGCCUCAUCAAGGCCUAACAUUUCACGAAGAGUAAUACCUAAGUUGGCCGCUUGUUCUCUGGCACUCGUUACAGUCAAUCCAUGUGCUGCCGCAGCUGCUAUGAUAUCGGGGUCAUCCGGACCGGCGGCUUUCACUAUAAGCGGGGCAAUCGAUUGUUUACUUUGUUCCCCGAGCUGGGCAACUCGUUUCCCGCUUUUUUUACUUUCUAAUUCCGUUUUCUCGGCCUCCUCCAAGGCUUUGUUCUCCUGGUUCUCCGCCCGCUCUUUCUUCUCCUUCAACAUGAGUGCCUGCCUACGAAGUUCACGUGCAUAGUCGUCAGGCAGAUUCUUCGCGGCUUGGGACGGUGUGCUCAAAAAUGACUUAGCCCACUUCUUUUGCUCAUCAGAAAAUACUGGCUUGGGCUCGGGCUCUCUUUUCUUCUUGCAGUUCGCCUUCCAUUUCUCAUGAUCAGCAGCCGCCCUCGCGGCAGUUUCCUCGGCACUACGUUCCCAAGGCCUUGUGGGGAGAGGCUUCAGUGAUGGCUCCGGUACCUUUGUGGUCUUAGGUACAUAAGGGUCCGGGUUAAUAAUCCAGGACUGCUUCUGCUUCUUUGCCGGAGGUGGAUUGGGGGGUGGCGUCUGAUCACCCGCCGGACGAGGACUGGGGGGCGGCGUCUGAUCACCCGCCGGACGUUGUGGACUGGGGGGCGUCGGCUGACGUGACGGAGGUGUAGGUGAACCGUCACCACCACCACCACCACCACCACCGCCACCGCCACCACCACCACCGUAGGGGGGUGGACUUGUUGUCCUUGGCGCCUCGCCUGGAAACUUGAUAAACUUCUUUUGCCAUAGAAUGAAAUGGCGCUUGACAUCUCCAAGUCUUUUCUCCCCUUCAGGUGUAGCAAUGUCAAUCUCCAGGUCCUCAAACCCUUGGACUAUGUCCUCCACCGUGACACGAGCAUAGCCAUCUUGAAUGGGGUUGUUGUGGUGGAGUGCUCCAGGUAAACAUGGUAAAGCACUGCCGAUGGCUACCUUCAUGGACAUGUUCCCGAUAGGAUAAUACAGAUGACAUUCUUUCAUCUCCUUUAUAUCGUCCACGGGGUAGCGAGGAGGCUCCGGUGCAGUAAUUUCGACCACCAGAGGCUCCGGUGCAGUAAUUUCGUUCGUCGGUGCAUCUGCACCAGCUGGUGGGGCCUCCGUGGAAGCCACGCUGCUUCUCCGCUGCUGGCUUCCGAGAUCCGCUGGAUGAUCUUCAUGCUGCGCCCGAACAUCUCUUUCGGCUAAUAGUACACUCACGGUUUUCUUCAUCACAUCCAUUUCCGAUGCCAACCGUGCCACAACAUCUGCUUCCCGAUCCAUCUUUCUCUUACGGCUUCUGUAACCGUACGGGUCAUCGUUCUGGGGGAACCCUAUUUUCCACGGAAUGUUCCCCAUGCCUCGUACACGUCCUCCGUGUUCAGGAUUCCCGAGGGCUUUUGUCAGCGCGUCGUUCUCUCUGUUGAACUUGAUCUUCCCCUCUUGAGCAUCCCUCAUUGCGUCAAUAAGGGCUUGGGUGGGUUUAAUUAAUUUGCCCCGGUAAACACACUCCCCUGUCUCCGGGUUCAGCGUUCCCCCAUGCCCGUACCACCAGCUUUUGGCCCUUUGGUCCCAUCCCUCCGUACCUGGACGGAUUCCUCGCGCCCUCAGCUCGUUCUCCAUCUUCUCCAACCUAGGCACCCAAAUGCGAUACCCUCCUGGCCCCAUAAUAUGAUUGUACUCCUUCUUAGCCGCAUUUUCCUUAUUUCUUUUCGAUAUUUGAAUGAACUGCUCCGAUUUCUUUUGCUUCACAAAUUCUGGCCAAUCAUGUUUCAGUUUCUCAUAUUGUCCUUUGAAAUCCGGAGUCUUGUUCUGCUUGACAAAGUCAUGGGCUAGAUUUUGCUUGAAUUUCCGGAAUGCGUCGGCCAUCUUAUGAAGAGCGAACUGUUUGACUAGCCUCCUCCUCUCCUUGUUUUCCUCAAUCUUGUUACCCUCCUCAUCGAAUUUGUUGUAUUCCGGAGGUAGAACGAAAUGUUCCAUAAGCUUCUUGAAGCAAUCUUUUUUUGUUCUCUUAUCGACAAAAGUGAAACCAGCAUUUCGUGCCUUCUUUGGCUCAUUCCACUCCUGGACGGUGAUCGAGACGUUGUCUCUAACAACGGCUCCGCAUUGGCUGACAAACUUGGUGGCGUUCUUGCGGGGCUCCAGCGGCCUGCCGGUUGCACUGUCGACAACCUCGAUGGUGCAUGUUUCUCCUUGUUUCAUCGUCUUGGUUGCGCCACGCUUUGACGACGUACUCGAUUGUUUCGACGAUCCGGCCGAGGGCUAAAAUAAGAAAGAGAGUCGCGCGCGUUAGUACACACGUAUUUAUUCAAAUCAGUUAGUUUGUAUCACCAGAGGCUCAAUGUAUAUAUAUACCUCGGCGCCGGAGGUGGUUGCUACUUCCAUUUGAAGAUCGUCGUUUAUCGACGUUUGUUCGGCAUCAUCUUGCUGACGGCGCCCUUCAUCUUCACCGUCAAGGUUCAGAUAAGAAGAGAUAUCAUCUUCUUGAUCUUGUCCGGUCGGCACAUAUAGAAUAUCGCCGUUUAUGAUGCCGAACAUAUGUGCUUCACCGUCCGGAUCAUAGUUGUCCAUAAUCGGGUCAGCUCUAUCGUCCGCCAUUAUGUCAGUCCUGAAAACAUGUAGUAAAAACAAAUUAAUUAAGUGAAGAAGGGGGGCGGUGGCGGUGGCGGUGGCGAAAGGGCGGUGGCAAAAGGAGGGGGUGAGGAAGGGGUCAAACACUCAUGCCCGUCUAUUGACAAGUACCCCCUCUUGUUUGGUUUUACUCCGUGUAUAAAAUUUGACUGAUGUUGAACUUCGUCAAGUUCGAUCGAAUGCGUGUUAAGAAACAUCAAUAUCCACAACACUAAAGUUUAACUUCAAACGAAUCAUGUAAAAAAAGGAACGAAGGGAGUACUGCAUCGCCUGUCGCUAGAAAGGAUAAGCGUUAAACCUUGAGCUUUGAUCUCUGUUAGGCUAGGAUGCAAUCACCAUCGGUCGGGUGCCAUGCUACUGAUUGAAACAACAGCCUAUAACGGUCUCGGAUCCAACUUGGGCUCAUGUUCUGAGAUCACUUUACAUUUUUUGACAAAACAAAUUGACAUCAGAUGAUUAUACAUUUUUAUUGUCUGUUUGUUUGCCAUAUUGUGUGUUUUUUCAUCUUAAUAAUGUUAAUUUUACGAACUUGUCUAAACAAGACUAAUACGGUUUUAUUCAACUAUUACUUAUCCAUUAACUCAUUUUUAUGCCUGACGUGCAAAGUGAUAUUAGCGUGUUAUAGCCCACCAGAGGUAAACAACCCACACCAUUUUCUAAAAUAUUUUUUCAGAAUAGAUUGUUGUUAGAUUCUAGAGUGGUGGGUUUAGUGCCAAAUAGUCAACGUCAUUGUGGAAAAUAAGAAAAAUGCACAAUAUUCAUCAUCUAUUUCUUAAUCAAUGGAAUGUGACACCAUGACACAUUUAGUCGCGCGCCCAAGUUGGAUCCGAGACCGUUAUAGACAUACUUUAGAACGUAGAUUCACUCAUUUUGCUUCGUAUAUACUCAUCUAAUGAAAUCUAUAAAAAAAAACUUAGAACGUAGAUUCACUCAUUUUAGGAACGGAGGGAGUAUACUAAGUGAAUCAAGUAUCCAACGGUGCAUCAAGGUUAACGGCAAUCAAGAUUCAUAGUGCAAUUCUUCAAUCCUUCUUGCACUUGCACAUAGGUUAACGGCGCCGUACGUGGGCGAGAAGGCCGGCGGCGAGGGCGAGGGGCGACGGCGGGCGGCGUACGUGGCCGGGCAAGGGUGACGGCGGGCGGCGAGGGCGGCGUCGAGGGCGAGGGCGACGGCGGGCGGCGAGGGCGGCGUCGAGGGCGAGGGCGACGGCGGGCGGCGAGGGCGGCGUCGAGGGCGAGGAUCGGAGAAGACGAGAAUCGGAGAAGACGGCGGCAGGCCUUGUAUUUAUAACCCCCACCUUUAGUCGCGGUUGGAUAAACCAACCGCGACUAAAGGGUUUUUUCGUUCCGGCGCGCAACGACCUUUAGUCGCGGUUGGUCUGGCCAACCGCGACUAAAGGUAUUUUUCAAAAUACUUUUCUUUUUCAAUAUCUUAAAAAUACAAAUAAUAUAUCAAAAAAUUCAGAAAAAUAAAACUAAUUCAAUUCAAUAUGUUAAAAACACAAAAAUUAUAUCAAAAAAUUAAGAAAAAUAAAACUAAUUCAAUUCAAAAUGUUAAAAAUACAAAUAAUAUAUCAAAAAAUUCAGAAAAAUAACACUAAUUCAAUUCAAACGUCCUUAUCCCACCGACAGUUUUCUUAGAUGACACAAAAACCACAUUUAGUCCCGGUUGCACCAACCAGCCGGGACUAAAGGUUAGAUGACCAGCUCUGGAUUCCUCUUCUUCCCGCCAUUUCUUCCCUGUCUUCCCGCCUCUUUCUUCCCGCCACUUUCUUCCCGCCUCCUGUCUUUCCGCUCCCAUUUUUCCCGCCAUUUCUCACUACAUAUAUGUAGCCCGGCUUGGCCAGCAUUAUCACAUCUCUACAAUCUCUCAUCACUCUCUCAUGGCUUCCACCGCACCCACUCUAACCUACCAGCAGGUGGAGGAGCUUUGCGCCUCGAACUACCCUUGUCCACCGGGCUACCGCGUCCCCACCGGCUGGAGCCUAAGCGCCGGCGGCGUGCCGGUCCCUCCCGUCCCUCAGGGUACUGCGCGUCGGGCGGCCAUCACGAACCACUACUACCUCGACCUCACGCCGGAGCAGCGGAUGAAUCCCCGCUGGCAUCCCGAUAACCAGCAUACUUGGGACGCCUUCUUCAUCAAUCGGCGUGAAAGGGCGCUCGCCAGGUAUGAGGAGGACGGUCUGCCUCCUGGGAACUUCCACGAGGCCGGCCGUCGGCUAUGGUGGUACGGCCGGACUCUGCAGAGCGUCAUGGACUACAUCACGGCCGGCGAUAUCCCCCGCCUGCGCUACCCUCAGUUCGAGCCACGAGCGCCGCCCGACGACAGCAGCGACGACGACGGCGGCAACUUAGAAGGCGACGACUACCAGUACAACGACGACAGCAGCUAUGAAGACUACGAGUAUGCAUAUUAUACGCCUAGGCAGGAGUAUGACUAAAUCACUCCAAAUUUCAUGUAUCAUCAUUGGUAUCUCGAAUCAUUCGAAAAUGGACACCAAACACAUCACGGGUAAUAUAAUUCACAUGAUCCAUUCAACAAAGUUUGGUACAAUAAAUUAUUACACAUCAUUUCUUCCCUUGUGUCCCUGCUUGCUUACGAUUGUGCCGUAUCCAUGGAGCAUCCUCAUCAUUUAACUUAAUGCUUGGGUCGGUGUUCACUUUGAAGGGCGGAAUUUCAGCAAACAUAUUAUAAUCUUCUGACAUGUCUGUCUUGUCCUCCACUCCCACGAUGUUUCUUUUCCCUGAAAGAACAAUGUGGCGCUUUGGAUCAUCGCAUGAUGUACUGAUCGUUUUCUUAUCUUUCUGUUUCCUCGGUUUGCUACUCAUGUCCUUCACAUAGAAAACCUGAGCGACAUCUUUCGCUAGGACGAAUGGUUCGUCAAGGUAAACAAGAUUGUUGAAAUCCACCAUUGUCAUUCCGUAUUGCUGGUCCACCUUUACCCCACCUCCUGUUAGCUUGAACCAUUUGCACCGGAACAAAGGGACCUUAAAGGAGGGUCCAUAGUCAAGUUCCCAUAUCUCCUCUAUGUAACCAUAAUAUGUGACCUCUUGCCCAUUCUCGGUUGCUGCAUCAAAGCGGACACCACUGUUUUGGUUGGUGCUCUUUUUAUCUUGGGCGAUCGUGUAAAAUGUAUUCCCAUUUAUCUCGUACCCUUGGAAAGUCGUUAUAGUCGAAGAUGGUGUCUUGGCCAACAUGUACAGCUGAUCUACAACAUCAUUGUCAUUCAUUAAAUGUUUUCUCAACCAACUGCCGAAAGUCUCCAUGUGGGCCUUCCUAAUCCAGGAUUCAGGCUUCCCCGGGUUGUCCGAGCGUAAAAUAUUCUUGUGUUUCUCAAAGUACGGAGCCACCAAGCUGGAAUUGGUCAGUACAGUGUGGUGUGCUUCAGUCAGAGAAUGGCCGUCCAUACAUAUCGUUGAUUUCCUUCCGAUCGUGCCUUUUCCACUUAGUCUCCCCUCGUGCCGCGAUCGAGGAAGACCAAUCGGCUUAAGGUCAGGAACAAAGUCAACAUAAAACUCAAUUACCUCCUCAUUUCCAUAGCCCUUGGCGAUGCUUCCUUCUGGCCUAGCACGGUUACGAACAUAUUUCUUUAAUACUCCCAUGAACCUCUCGAAGGGGAACAUAUUGUGUAGAAAUACAGGACCGAGAACGAAAAUCUCUUCGACUAGGUGAACCAGGAGGUGCGUCAUAAUAUUGAAGAAGGAUGGCGGGAACACCAGCUCGAAACUGACAAGACAUUGGAUCACAUCGUUCUGUAACCGUGGUAGAACUUCUGGAUUGAUUACCUUCUGAGAGAUUGCAUUGAGGAAUGCACAUAGCUUCACAAUGGCUACUCGAACAUUUUGCGGCAGGAGCCCCCUCAAAGCAAUCGGAAGCAAUUGCGUCAUAAUCACGUGGCAGUCGUGAGACUUCAGGUUUUGGAACUUUUUCUCCGCCAUGUUUAUUAUUCCCUUUAUAUUGGACGAGAAUCCAGACGGGACCUUCAUACUGCUCAGGCAUUCAAAAAAGAUGACCUUCUCUUCUUUGGUCAGAGCGUAGCUGGCACGACCUUGAAACCAUUCCGGAUGCCGGUCAUCAGGGUCUUUCAAACGUUGCUGGUCCUGCCGUGCUUCCUUUGUAUAAUUUGUCUUCCCAUACACGCCCAAGAAGCUUAGGAGGUUCACGCAAAUAUUCUUCGUAACGUGCAUCACGUCGAUUGCAGAGCGGACUUCUAGGACUUUCCAAUAUUCUAGCUCCCAGAAUAUAGAUUUCUUCUUCCACAUGGCUGCGUGCCCGUCAGCUCCCUUCGGAACUGAUUGUCCGCCAGGACCCUUUCCAAAGAUGACUUUCAAAUCCUUGACCAUAUCAAAUAACUCAGCACCAGUGCGUUCCGCAGGCUUCGGCCGGUGAUCUGCCUUGCCGUUGUAAUGCUUGCCUUUCUUUCUUACUAGAUGAAUUUUCGGAAGAAAUCGACGAUGCCCAAGGUACACGUUCUUCUUACAAUUUGGCAAAUGUACACUUUCAGUCUCAUGUAAGCAGUGCGUGCAUGCAUUGUAUCCCUUAUUUGACAGUCCCGAAAGGUUACUAAGAGCAGGCCAAUCGUUGAUGGUUACGAAAAGCAACGCUCGUAGGUCAAAUUCCUCUUCUUUGUGCUCAUCCCACACACGGACACCAGGUCUGCCCCACAGCUGUAAAAGUUCAUCAACUAAUGGCCUUAGGUACACAUCGAUGUCGUUGCCGGGUUGCUUCGGACCUUGGAUGAGCACUGGCAUCAUAAUGAACUUCCGCUUCAUGCACAACCAAGGAGGAAGGUUGUAGAUGCAUAGAGUCACGGGCCAGGUGCUAUGGCUGGAGCUCUGCUCGCCAAAAGGAUUCAUGCCAUCUGUACUUAGACCAAAUCUUAUGUUCCUUGCGUCAGCUGCAAAAUCUUUGAACUCUCUGUCGAUCUUUCUCCAUUGCGUUCCAUCUGCGGUGUGUCUCAACUCCCCGUCCGACUUACGGUCCUCUUUGUGCCAUCGCAACAACUUGGCAUGCUCUUUGUUCCUGAACAAACGUUUCAACCGUGGUAUUAUAGGAGCAUACCACAUCACCUUGGCGGGAACCCUCUUCCUGGGUUUCUCGCCCUCAACAUCGUCACCAGGGUCAUCGCCUCUGAUCUUAUAACGCAAUGCAGUGCAUACCGGGCAUUCAUUCAAAUUCUCGUAUUCACUGCGGUAGAGGAUGCAGUCGUUGAUGCAUGCAUGUAUCUUCAGAACCUCUAAACCUAGAGGGCAUACAACCUUCUUUGCUUCGUACGUACUGGCGGGCAACUCGUUAUUCUUUGGAAACAUAUUCUUCAACAUUUUCAGCAAGUUUUCAAAUGCCGAGUCAGCUACACCUGCCUGUGCCUUCCAUUUCAGCAAAUCCAGUGUGCAGCCCAGCUUUUUCAGACCAUCAUCGCAUCCGGGGUACAACGACUUUCUGUGAUCCUCUAACAUGCGAUCCAAAUUCUCCCUCUCCUUUUCAGUUUCGCAGCGUCUCCGUGCAUCAGCAAUGGUCCGACCAAGAUCAUCAACGGUCUCAUCACGUGCCUCUUCUUCACCUUCACCUUCCCCUUCACCUUCCCCUUCACCUUCAGCAUCCUCCAUGAAAGUAUCACCGAAAUGAGCAAGAUAGCUUUCAUCCAUGAAAUCAUCCCCUUCUUCAUCUUCUUCCAUUAUAACCCCUCUUUCUCCAUGCUUGGUCCAACAAUUAUAGCUUGGCAUGAAACCGUGCCGAAGCAGGUGCAGGUGAACUUGUCUUGAGGAAGAGUAACCCUUCUGAUUCUUACAGUCAACACAUGGACAAAUAACAAAACCCUUCUGCUUGUUCGCAUUAGCCACUACGAGGAAAUCUUUCAAACCCGUAGUGAAUUCGCGGGAGAGUCGGUUACCGUACAUCCAUUGCCGAUUCAUCUGCAUUAUUAUAAUAUAAAAUAUAUAAUUAACCAUCAUGCAUUUGUUAAACUAACUAGCUAUAAACAAUAGAAAUUAAACAAUGAACAACACACAUGCAUAUAUAUUUUAUCAAUGACACACAUGCAUGAAAGGUUCAAGUUGCUAACCGCGAUCGAGGAGGAAAAAAUAAAUGAGGAACCUCAAGUGUGGCUCCAACACUUCAUAUCAUGUUUGUUUCACGCUCUUGGGGCAUUUCAUCAAACACCUUGUGUGCAUAAGAGGAACCAAAAGCAAACCUACACCCCCUUGUGAAGCUUGUGAAGAGAAGUGGCACCAAAUGGCUAAGUGAGUGUGCUGAACUGGUAUCUAUAGGGGAGGAGAUUUAGUCGCGGUUGGCAUGGCAAACCGCGACUAAAGGCCUUUGGGCACCUUUAGUCGCGGUUGGCCUGGCCAACCGCGACUAAAGCCCCUCACGUGCACCAGCUGGCCACCGAGCGCCCUGGCCCAGGCCUUUGGUCGCGGUUCGUCUGCCGAACCGCGACUAAAGAAAUCAUUAGUCGCGGUUCCUACAGUGUCGCGACUUAUGGGGCUGGACGGAAGCCUCUUUUUCUACCAGUGUAGCCCACAGACCAAAUAUGAGAAGUGAUGUUUUGAAAGCUUCUUAUUGAGUCUAAUACUAUCCUUUUGAAAUUCUUGGUCCUCAGAUCUGAUACCAUAACCAGCAUCUACAUGCUCAUGCUGCAAACUAUCACAUAGGUCCUAUUUCAGGUUCAUUUACUUUCUCAAAUAAGUAACUUUGUCUAAUGUUCCCCGAACGAGUAGUUAAAACAACCACCCCCUGAUCCGAAAGGAAUGGGUGUUCCUGAGGCUUAUUCAAAGGGGUGCCAGCGCUACUACUUGAUUGAGUGCCAGCACGUAGCUGUGCUUUCAGCAAGAAUUUCACCAUUGGGAGCCGGUGCCUUUCGAAGCACUUUCACGUGUGAACCGAAGUCGUCUUGCCCAAGACCCACGGAGACCUACCUAUAGUGACGUCAAAGUACCAGUGAGCAUGGAGGUUUGGUUGAAAUUGGUUACGACGACGUCGAGUUGGCGGCGGAGGAAGACUCGGCAUGAAGGCCAGCCGCCCGGUGGUGUGGUACGUAGUGGUAAUAGUACGCGCCCCGCUCCGAAACAAAGAAAAAGGUGCGUGCCGCNNN